RNAcentral lists this ribosomal RNA (445 nucleotides) under Escherichia coli. RNAcentral's name for it is "bacterial SSU rRNA". It matches the Rfam family "Bacterial small subunit ribosomal RNA", at positions 1 to 442 of the family's 1533-position model. The record is from RNAcentral. Lineage: Bacteria; Pseudomonadati; Pseudomonadota; Gammaproteobacteria; Enterobacterales; Enterobacteriaceae.
AAAUUGAAGAGUUUGAUCAUGGCUCAGAUUGAACGCUGGCGGCAGGCCUAACACAUGCAAGUCGAACGGUAACAGGAAGAAGCUUGCUUCUUUGCUGACGAGUGGCGGACGGGUGAGUAAUGUCUGGGAAACUGCCUGAUGGAGGGGGAUAACUACUGGAAACGGUAGCUAAUACCGCAUAACGUCGCAAGACCAAAGAGGGGGACCUUCGGGCCUCUUGCCAUCGGAUGUGCCCAGAUGGGAUUAGCUAGUAGGUGGGGUAACGGCUCACCUAGGCGACGAUCCCUAGCUGGUCUGAGAGGAUGACCAGCCACACUGGAACUGAGACACGGUCCAGACUCCUACGGGAGGCAGCAGUGGGGAAUAUUGCACAAUGGGCGCAAGCCUGAUGCAGCCAUGCCGCGUGUAUGAAGAAGGCCUUCGGGUUGUAAAGUACUUUCAGCGG